Molecule: ribosomal RNA, 468 nt
Filed under: uncultured bacterium
Lineage: Bacteria
Description: partial 16S ribosomal RNA
Rfam family: Bacterial small subunit ribosomal RNA
Source: RNAcentral
GACGAACGCUGGCGGCGUGCUUAACACAUGCAAGUCGAACGGAAAGGCCCUGCUUUUGUGGGGUGCUCGAGUGGCGAACGGGUGAGUAACACGUGAGUAACCUGCCCUUGACUUUGGGAUAACUUCAGGAAACUGGGGCUAAUACCGGAUAGGAGCUCCUGCUGCAUGGUGGGGGUUGGAAAGUUUCGGCGGUUGGGGAUGGACUCGCGGCUUAUCAGCUUGUUGGUGGGGUAGUGGCUUACCAAGGCUUUGACGGGUAGCCGGCCUGAGAGGGUGACCGGCCACAUUGGGACUGAGAUACGGGCCAGACUCCUACGGGAGGCAGCAGUGGAGAAUAUUGCACAAGGGGCGGAAGCCUGAUGCAGCAACGCCGCGUGCGGGAUGACGGCCUUCGGGUUGUAAACCGCUUUCGCCUGUGACGAAGCGUGAGUGACGGUAAUGGGUAAAGAAGCACCGGCUAACUACGUG